Amborella trichopoda is the source of this 1303-nucleotide long non-coding RNA. RefSeq lists it as uncharacterized. The record is from RefSeq and is a predicted model, not a curated record. NCBI's taxonomy places the organism in Eukaryota, Viridiplantae, Streptophyta, Magnoliopsida, Amborellales, Amborellaceae.
AUAGAAUUUGAGAAACCAACUUCCUAUUUUAAGUUCCAUCAUUUAGAUGGAAGAUUUUCUUUUAAGCACGAGGAAAUAAGGAAAUUCUAGAGGAACUUUUGUACUUUAUAAGUUAUGUAUAUCAAACACGGAACUUCUAUAGUAAUGAGAAAGUUCAUUCUUCCUCCCCCUAACUUCCUAUUAUCAAACACCCCCUCAACUAUAUUGCUAAACUAAGAAGUGGAGUUUCCCACUUGGGAGUAGAGAGUCACAUACAUACGGCUAAACCAGGGAGAACGGGGGUGCAUGAGGUGGUUAGAAGAAAGAGGAGCAUGUGACAUGGUUUUUGCCCUGAAUUAUACAGCUACAAAGAGGGGAGUAUGAUGGACCAAGGUGGGCACCAAGGGCACUGUAGUGUUGGAGUGCCAGAUUGUAUGAUAAGGACCAUAGCCAUGGGGAUUUCAACGUGGCCGGAGCUAUUCGGAUGAUGGAUGGUUACUGGAAACUGGUCCACAGAUGGACAUGCGAAACAAGUAGGUAGGAACCCAAGGGCCUCCCAAAGAAAUUGAAGGGUCGGAUACAAGACGCAUCAGGGGCAGCGGAUAUAAUUGCCAAGACCUAAUAUUUUCUGUCAGGACCAAAUACCAACAUGUUGCACCUUUGUUUGUUGAUACAAUUGCUAUUUUCUAUCAGACAUGGAGGAUAGAAGUCAUAUAUGAUAUACACAUAUGCUCGCCGCCAUCGAGAGUGUGCCACGCUCUCUAAAGGGGUUUCCCUUGGAGGAAUCCGGCAAAAUCCUUACGACGCAGGAUCAGACCACCUAUGGACUUCGUCACAUUGGCUCUUCUUCACUCGAGUCGUCCUACAACAGGCUCUCACGAAAUUUAGGGGAUCUUUCGGUAACCACAUCGAUGGUAGGGAAAGAAGAUUGAUCAGCGAGGGGUGGCUACCUGUACCUUGCCGAGGCCCAGGCUCUUAGCAGCCUGCUCUGCAGCUUGUAAUUGGGCAAUCAAGUCCUUUCCUUCUCCCAAACCUUCACAUAAUUUACGUUCUUCAUAAUGUUAUAAGCAACAUGAUUAUAUCUUAUCACUCUGAGGGUAUGAUCCUGUCUUGAAGAGGUUCACUAUUGCUAGUAUACCUGUGAAAGAUGGGUCAGAGACCUCAUUUGGUCGAUGAUAUCCAUCAUUUCUAAUGUGCGUAUGAUGAAGUCACCGAGCUCCCCAUCGUAUUCUUCUGUGAAGUGUUCGACUUCCCCAUAUCCUCGAGCUGUCAGUUCUUCAUAAAUCAUGAAUUCCGAAUCCUCUUCUAGUUAGAAAUUUGCAUC